UAAAUUCUUAGGAAAUCAAUUUUUGAUUUAUUUAUAUAUAAAUUUUAGUAAUAAUAAUAUUUAAAUAAUAUUUAAUUUGUAAUUAUUAAAAUUAUUGAUUAAAUAAUUUUUGAUUUAGAAAUUUAAUAAGUAUUAACUAAUUUUGUGCCAGCAGUUGCGGUUAUACAUAAGUUACAAUUGAUUUUUUUUAAGAUGUAAGAAAAAAUAUUAUAAUUUAUAAAAUUUGUUAUUAUAAGGUGAAAUUUUAAUAAUUUAAUUUAAUUAUAUUUAAUUUGUUUUAUGAAAUUUUUGUAAUAAACUAGGAUUAGAUACCCUAUUAUUAAAAAUAUAAAAUUAUUCUUAGAAUAGUAUUAGUUAAGUUCUUGAAAUUUAAAAAAUUUGGCGGUAUUUUAAUCUUUUUAGAGGAACCUGUUCUAUAAUUGAUAUUCCACGAUUUAUUUUACUUUAUUUUUAGUUUAUAUAUCAUUGUAAUUAAAUAUAUUAUAAGAUUAUAUUUAAUUUUUAUAAUUAUAAUUUAAAUCAAAUCAAGGUAUAGCUUAUAAUAAAGAAAGAAAUGGGUUACAUUAAAUUUAUUUAUGAAUAUUUGAUUGAAAAUUAUUUUGAAAUUGGAUUUAAUAGUAAUUAAAUAUAAUUAUAUUUUAUGAUUUUAGCUCUAAAAUAUGUACAUAUUGCCCGUCGCUCUUGUUAUAAAAUUAGAUAAGUCGUAACAAAGUAGAUUUACUGGAAAGUGUAUCUAGAAAGAC
Molecule: non-coding RNA, 743 nt
Filed under: Ptiliidae sp. BMNH 1274724
Lineage: Eukaryota; Metazoa; Arthropoda; Insecta; Coleoptera; Ptiliidae
Source: RNAcentral